RNAcentral lists this ribosomal RNA (244 nucleotides) under uncultured Staphylococcus sp. RNAcentral's name for it is "partial 16S ribosomal RNA". It matches the Rfam family "Bacterial small subunit ribosomal RNA", at positions 96 to 334 of the family's 1533-position model. The record is from RNAcentral. Lineage: Bacteria; Bacillati; Bacillota; Bacilli; Caryophanales; Staphylococcaceae.
CGGCGGACGGGUGAGUAACACGUAGGUAACCUACCUAUAAGACUGGGAUAACUUCGGGAAACCGGAGCUAAUACCGGAUAAUAUUUCGAACCGCAUGGUUCGAUAGUGAAAGAUGGCUUUGCCAUCACUUAUAGAUGGACCUGCGCCGUAUUAGCUAGUUGGUAAGGUAACGGCUUACCAAGGCAACGAUACGUAGCCGACCUGAGAGGGUGAUCGGCCACACUGGAACUGAGACACUGUCCAG